Molecule: small nucleolar RNA, 68 nt
Filed under: Carlito syrichta (Philippine tarsier)
Lineage: Eukaryota; Metazoa; Chordata; Mammalia; Primates; Tarsiidae
Description: Small nucleolar RNA SNORD77 (ENSTSYG00000020188.2)
Rfam family: Small nucleolar RNA SNORD77
About the family: U77 belongs to the C/D family of snoRNAs.
Source: Rfam by way of RNAcentral
AUGCUAUGAUGGUUUCAUAGUUCAGCAGGUUGAAUCAUGAAAAGAUUUACUAUUUGUCCGAUGUGGGG